RNAcentral lists this ribosomal RNA (253 nucleotides) under uncultured bacterium. RNAcentral describes it as "partial 16S ribosomal RNA". It matches the Rfam family "Bacterial small subunit ribosomal RNA", at positions 524 to 776 of the family's 1533-position model. The record is from RNAcentral.
UACAGAGGUCUCAAGCGUUGUUCGGAUUCAUUGGGCGUAAAGGGUGUGUAGGUGGCGCGCUAAGUCGGGUGUGAAAUCUUGGAGCUUAACUCCGAAACUGCAUUCGAUACUGCCGUGCUUGAGGACUGGAGAGGAGACUGGAAUUUACGGUGUAGCGGUGAAAUGCGUAGAUAUCGUAAGGAACACCAGUGGCGAAGGCGGCUCACUGGCCCGGUACUGACGCUGAGGUGCGAAAGCGUGGGGAGCAAACAGG